Molecule: ribosomal RNA, 518 nt
Filed under: uncultured bacterium
Lineage: Bacteria
Description: partial 16S ribosomal RNA
Rfam family: Bacterial small subunit ribosomal RNA
Source: RNAcentral
GACGAACGCUGGCGGCGUGCUUAACACAUGCAAGUCGAACGGAGAAUUUAUUUCGGUAAAUUCUUAGUGGCGAACGGGUGAGUAACGCGUGGGCAACCUGCCCUUCAGAUGGGGACAACAUCCCGAAAGGGGUGCUAAUACCGAAUACGACCACGCUGCCGCAUGGCGGUGGGAUGAAAGAUGGCCUCUAUUUAUAAGCUAUCGCUGAAGGAUGGGACUGCGUCUGAUUAGCUAGUUGGUGGGGUAACGGCCUACCAAGGCGAAGAUCAGUAGCCGGUCUGAGAGGAUGAACGGCCACAUUGGGACUGAGACACGGCCCAAACUCCUACGGGAGGCAGCAGUGGGGAAUAUUCCGCAAUGGACGAAAGUCUGACGGAGCAACGCCGCGUGAGUGAUGAAGGUUUUCGGACUGUAAAACUCUGUUGUUUAGGACGAAAGUGCCUGUUGCAAAUAGUUGCAGGUAUUGACGGUACUGAACGAGGAAGCCACGGCUAACUACGUGCCAGCAGCCGCCGUAA